This 360-nucleotide transfer RNA is filed under the name uncultured Microcystis sp. RNAcentral's name for it is "partial 16S-23S ribosomal RNA intergenic spacer". The stretch from base 134 to 207 matches the Rfam family "tRNA". The record is from RNAcentral. Lineage: Bacteria; Bacillati; Cyanobacteriota; Cyanophyceae; Chroococcales; Microcystaceae.
AAAGGGAGACCUAAUUCGGGUAUGGGACGAAAAAAAAGUAGUCGCUACCAAGAAUCAAUCCCAAAAGGUCGGAGCGAGGCAUGAGGCUUUCAAACUAGGUUCUGGGUUCAUAAAAGACCUGAAUCAGGAACAAGGGCUAUUAGCUCAGGUGGUUAGAGCGCACCCCUGAUAAGGGUGAGGUCCCUGGUUCGAGUCCAGGAUGGCCCACCUGCACAGGUGGCAAAAACAAGAGAAGCGAGGAAUCAGCACCUUAUCUUAUAUACAUAUAUAAGAGAGAAUGCUGGCUCUGAGUACAGAGUCCAGAGGAACCUUGAAAACUGCAUAGAGCUAGGUGAAAAAGCCAAAAAAGAAGACCGCAAG